Molecule: ribosomal RNA, 1423 nt
Filed under: uncultured bacterium
Lineage: Bacteria
Description: partial 16S ribosomal RNA
Rfam family: Bacterial small subunit ribosomal RNA
Source: RNAcentral
AGAGUUUGAUCCUGGCUCAGGACGAACGCUGGCGGCGUGCCUAACACAUGCAAGUCGAACGGAGAAUUUCAAUAAGUUUACUUAGAGAAAUUUUUAGUGGCGGANNNNNNNNNNNNNNNNNNNNNNNNNNNNNNNNNNNNNNNNNNNNNNNNNNNNNNNNNNNNCUCUUUGGAUCGCAUGGUUUAAAGAGAAAAGGUGGCCUCUUUACAAUGCUACCACUUACAGAUGAAUCCGCGUCCCAUUAGCCAGUUGGUGGGGUAAAGGCCUACCAAAGCGACGAUGGGUAGCCGGCCUGAGAGGGUGACCGGCCACACUGGGACUGAGACACGGCCCAGACUCCUACGGGAGGCAGCAGUAGGGAAUUUUCGGCAAUGGGCGCAAGCCUGACCGAGCAACGCCGCGUGAGUGAAGAAGGCCUUCGGGUUGUAAAGCUCUGUUGUAAGGGAAGAAUGGCCAAGAGAGGGAAUGCUCUUGGAGUGACGGUACCUUACCAGAAAGCCACGGCUAACUACGUGCCAGCAGCCGCGGUAAUACGUAGGUGGCAAGCGUUAUCCGGAAUUAUUGGGCGUAAAGGGAGCGUAGGCGGUUUGAUAAGUCUGAGGUGAAAGUUCGGGGCUCAACCCUGAGAGUGCAUCGGAAACUGGAGAUCUUGAGGACAGGAGAGGAAAGUGGAAUUCCACGUGUAGCGGUGAAAUGCGUAGAUAUGUGGAGGAACACCAGUGGCGAAGGCGACUUACUGGACUGUAACUGACGCUGAGGCACGAAAGCGUGGGUAGCAAACAGGAUUAGAUACCCUGGUAGUCCACGCUGUAAACGAUGAGUGCUAGGUGUUGGGUAGCGAUAUUCAGUGCCGAAGUUAACACAAUAAGCACUCCGCCUGGGGAGUACGGUCGCAAGACUGAAACUCAAAGGAAUUGACGGGGGCCCGCACAAGCGGUGGAGCAUGUGGUUUAAUUCGACGCAACGCGAAGAACCUUACCAGGGCUUGACAUCCCCUUGACAGAUGCAGAGAUGUGUCCUCCCCUUCGGGGGGAAGGGAGACAGGUGGUGCAUGGUUGUCGUCAGCUCGUGUCGUGAGAUGUUGGGUUAAGUCCCGCAACGAGCGCAACCCUUAUCGUUAGUUGCCAGCAUUUAAAGAUGGGAACUCUAACGAGACUGCCCGGGUCAACCGGGAGGAAGGUGGGGAUGACGUCAAGUCCUCAUGGCCCUUAUGUCCAGGGCUACACACGUGCUACAAUGGCCGGUACAGACGGAAGCGAAGCCGCGAGGUGGAGCAAAUCCGAGAAAGCCGGUCUCAGUUCGGAUUGCAGGCUGCAACUCGCCUGCAUGAAGUCGGAAUCGCUAGUAAUCGCAGGUCAGCAUACUGCGGUGAAUACGUUCCCGGGUCUUGUACACACCGCCCGUCACACCACGAGAGUCGGCA